Molecule: unclassified non-coding RNA, 262 nt
Filed under: plant metagenome
Description: partial contains small subunit ribosomal RNA, internal transcribed spacer 1, and 5.8S ribosomal RNA
Source: RNAcentral
UUUCCGUAGGUGAGCCUGCGGAAGGAUCAUUAUUGUAUAACCGAGGUGCGAGGGCUGUCGCUGACCCGAAAGGUCGUGCACGCCCGAGUGCCCUCACACACAUCCAUCUCACCCUAUGUGCACCACCGCGUGGGUCCCCCUUUGGCUUGUUCGGAGGGGGGCUUACGUUUUCACACAAACUUUGUAUGCAGUGUAGAAUGUAUUUUUUGUUUUUGCGAUCACGCAAUCAAUACAACUUUCAACAACGGAUCUCUUGGCUCUC